This 84-nucleotide transfer RNA is filed under the name prasinophyte sp. MBIC10622. RNAcentral's name for it is "tRNA-Leu". It matches the Rfam family "tRNA". From Rfam's summary of the family: Transfer RNA (tRNA) molecules are approximately 80 nucleotides in length. Their secondary structure includes four short double-helical elements and three loops (D, anti-codon, and T loops). Lineage: Eukaryota; Viridiplantae; Chlorophyta. The record is from RNAcentral.
GCGACAGUGGCGGAAUUGGAAGACGCGUAGCCUUGAGGUGGCUAUGGAUAUUCAUCUGUGUGGGUUCAAGUCCCACUUGUCGCA